UAGGGAAUAUUGCGCAAUGGGCGAAAGCCUGACGCAGCGACGCCGCGUGGGGGAUGAAGGCCUUCGGGUUGUAAACCCCUUUCGUGAGGGAAGAACACUGACUUAACCUCAGGAAGAAGCACCGGCUAACUCCGUGCCAGCAGCUGCGGUAAUACGGAGAGUGCAAACGUUGUUCGGAUUCACUGGGCGUAAAGGGCACGUAGGCGGCCCGGCGACUGAGUUGUGUAAUCCUUCCGCUUAACGGGAGAACGGCAGCUCAAAAUACCGGGCUCGAAGUCGUCAGGGGCAACUGGAACUCCUGGUGGAGCGGUGAAAUGCGUAGAUAUCAGGAGGAACGCCGGAGGCGAAAGCGAGUUGCUGGGGCGAUCUUGACGCUGAGGUGCGAAAGCUAGGGGAGCAAACAGG
This 405-nucleotide ribosomal RNA is filed under the name uncultured bacterium. RNAcentral describes it as "bacterial SSU rRNA". It matches the Rfam family "Bacterial small subunit ribosomal RNA", at positions 355 to 776 of the family's 1533-position model. The record is from RNAcentral.